RNAcentral lists this transfer RNA (74 nucleotides) under Brachystegia kennedyi. RNAcentral describes it as "tRNA-Pro". The stretch from base 18 to 74 matches the Rfam family "tRNA", at positions 1 to 54 of the family's 71-position model. From Rfam's summary of the family: Transfer RNA (tRNA) molecules are approximately 80 nucleotides in length. Their secondary structure includes four short double-helical elements and three loops (D, anti-codon, and T loops). The record is from RNAcentral. Lineage: Eukaryota; Viridiplantae; Streptophyta; Magnoliopsida; Fabales; Fabaceae.
ACUGUAAAACAAUUGAAAGGGAUGUAGCGCAGCUUGGUAGCGCGUUUGUUUUGGGUACAAAAUGUCACGGGUUC